Molecule: ribosomal RNA, 301 nt
Filed under: uncultured bacterium
Lineage: Bacteria
Description: partial 16S ribosomal RNA
Rfam family: Bacterial small subunit ribosomal RNA
Source: RNAcentral
CAGCAGCCACGGUAAUACGGAGGGUGCAAGCGUUAAUCGGAAUUACUGGGCGUAAAGCGCACGCAGGCGGUUUGUUAAGUCAGAUGUGAAAUCCCCGAGCUUAACUUGGGAACUGCAUUUGAAACUGGCAAGCUAGAGUCUUGUAGAGGGGGGUAGAAUUCCAGGUGUAGCGGUGAAAUGCGUAGAGAUCUGGAGGAAUACCGGUGGCGAAGGCGGCCCCCUGGACAAAGACUGACGCUCAGGUGCGAAAGCGUGGGGAGCAAACAGGAUUAGAUACCCGUGUAGUCCCUGUCUCUUAUAC